Molecule: ribosomal RNA, 430 nt
Filed under: uncultured Chloroflexota bacterium
Lineage: Bacteria; Bacillati; Chloroflexota
Description: bacterial SSU rRNA
Rfam family: Bacterial small subunit ribosomal RNA
Source: RNAcentral
UUUAAUUCGAUGACAACACGAAGAACCUUACCGAAGGCUUGACAUGACAGAAGUACGCCGAUAGGAAACUGAAGCCACGUUAAGUCGGUAGCUGCCACAAGUGCUGCAUGGCUGUCGUCAGCUCGUGCCGUGAGGUGUUAGGUUAAGUCCUGCAACGAGCGCAACCCUUAUUGCCAGUUAAAUUCUCUGGCGAGACUGCCUCGCAAAACGAGGAGGAAGGUGGGGAUGACGUCAAGUCAGCAUGGCCCUUAUGCCUUGGGCUACACACACGCCACAAUGGAUGGUACAGUUGGUUGCAAGAGCGUGAGCUGGAGCUAAUCCACCAAGACCAUUCUCAGUUCGGAUUGCAGGCUGAAACCCGCCUGCAUGAAGUUGGAGUUGCUAGUAAACGCAGGUCAGCUAUACUGCGUUGAAUACGUUCCCGGGGCUU